This 527-nucleotide small RNA is filed under the name Nannizzia gypsea. Its description in RNAcentral is "eukaryotic LSU rRNA". The stretch from base 208 to 361 matches the Rfam family "5.8S ribosomal RNA". The record is from RNAcentral. Lineage: Eukaryota; Fungi; Ascomycota; Eurotiomycetes; Onygenales; Arthrodermataceae.
CCGUCCCCGGAUGCGUCCGGGGGCGGUGUCGCCGGCCACACGCCCAUUCUUGUCUAUUUACCCAGUUGCCUCGGCGGGCCGCGCACUCGUGCCGCGCCUCGAGGAGCCGUCCGGGGACAAUCAACUCCCUGGAUCGCGCCCGCCGGAGGAGUGAUUAAAAUCCAUGAAUACUGUUCCGUCUGAGCGUUAGCAAGUAAAAUCAGUUAAAACUUUCAACAACGGAUCUCUUGGUUCCGGCAUCGAUGAAGAACGCAGCGAAAUGCGAUAAGUAAUGUGAAUUGCAGAAUUCCGUGAAUCAUCGAAUCUUUGAACGCACAUUGCGCCCUCUGGUAUUCCGGGGGGCAUGCCUGUUCGAGCGUCAUUUCAACCCCUCAAGCCCGGCUUGUGUGAUGGACGACCGUCCCGCCCUCCCUACUCCAGGGGAGGGGGACGCGCCCGAAAAGCAGUGGCCAGGCCGCGAUUCCGGCUCCUGGGCGAAUGGGCAACAAACCAACGCCUCUAGGACCGGCCGGUUUUCUGGCCUAGUU